CUAACUCUUAUUGGCUGAGAUCAACAAUAUUGAUGAUCUCAGCCAAUCCAGUGCUUCGCCAAAGGGAGGCAUUGAAACGCUAGUGCGCAUGCAUGGCAAAAUGCAGCACUAUGCUGCCAACCAAAUGCUCUCUAGGAGAGUCAUUAGACCUACAUGUGACUUCUAUCUUCCUGACAUACAACAUAGGUGUGUGUUAACUCUGAAAUGAAAAAUUAUUUGUUUUCAAUUGCUGGGAUAACAUUUUCUUGAAUGGGUUCAUUCACGCAUGGGCACAAGUCCCCAUCCAAUAAUGUUGACU
Pelobates cultripes (western spadefoot toad) is the source of this 298-nucleotide non-coding RNA. The record is from the annotation of a GenBank genome assembly. Lineage: Eukaryota; Metazoa; Chordata; Amphibia; Anura; Pelobatidae.